RNAcentral lists this ribosomal RNA (305 nucleotides) under uncultured bacterium. RNAcentral's name for it is "bacterial SSU rRNA". It matches the Rfam family "Bacterial small subunit ribosomal RNA", at positions 338 to 635 of the family's 1533-position model. The record is from RNAcentral.
CCUACGGGAGGCAGCAGUAGGGAAUCUUCGGCAAUGGACGAAAGUCUGACCGAGCAACGCCGCGUGAGUGAAGAAGGUUUUCGGAUCGUAAAACUCUGUUGUUAGAGAAGAACAAGGACGUUAGUAACUGAACGUCCCCUGACGGUAUCUAACCAGAAAGCCACGGCUAACUACGUGCCAGCAGCCGCGGUAAUACGUAGGUGGCAAGCGUUGUCCGGAUUUAUUGGGCGUAAAGCGAGCGCAGGCGGUUUCUUAAGUCUGAUGUGAAAGCCCCCGGCUCAACCGGGGAGGGUCAUUGGAAACUG